RNAcentral lists this ribosomal RNA (573 nucleotides) under uncultured Candida. RNAcentral's name for it is "eukaryotic LSU rRNA". The stretch from base 208 to 361 matches the Rfam family "5.8S ribosomal RNA". The record is from RNAcentral. Lineage: Eukaryota; Fungi; Ascomycota; Saccharomycetes; Saccharomycetales.
CUUGGUCAUUUAGAGGAAGUAAAAGUCGUAACAAGGUUUCCGUAGGUGAACCUGCGGAAGGAUCAUUACUGAUUUGCUUAAUUGCACCACAUGUGUUUUUCUUUGAAACAAACUUGCUUUGGCGGUGGGCCCAGCCUGCCGCCAGAGGUCUAAACUUACAACCAAUUUUUUAUCAACUUGUCACACCAGAUUAUUACUAAUAGUCAAAACUUUCAACAACGGAUCUCUUGGUUCUCGCAUCGAUGAAGAACGCAGCGAAAUGCGAUACGUAAUAUGAAUUGCAGAUAUUCGUGAAUCAUCGAAUCUUUGAACGCACAUUGCGCCCUCUGGUAUUCCGGAGGGCAUGCCUGUUUGAGCGUCGUUUCUCCCUCAAACCGCUGGGUUUGGUGUUGAGCAAUACGACUUGGGUUUGCUUGAAAGACGGUAGUGGUAAGGCGGGAUCGCUUUGACAAUGGCUUAGGUCUAACCAAAAACAUUGCUUGCGGCGGUAACGUCUACCACGUAUAUCUUCAAACUUUGACCUCAAAUCAGGUAGGACUACCCGCUGAACUUAAGCAUAUCAAUAAGCGGAGG